Molecule: ribosomal RNA, 1007 nt
Filed under: human gut metagenome
Description: bacterial LSU rRNA
Rfam family: Bacterial large subunit ribosomal RNA
Source: RNAcentral
UAAACGGCGGCCGUAACUAUAACGGUCCUAAGGUAGCGAAAUUCCUUGUCGGGUAAGUUCCGACCUGCACGAAUGGCGUAAUGAUGGCCAGGCUGUCUCCACCCGAGACUCAGUGAAAUUGAACUCGCUGUGAAGAUGCAGUGUACCCGCGGCAAGACGGAAAGACCCCGUGAACCUUUACUAUAGCUUGACACUGAACAUUGAGCCUUGAUGUGUAGGAUAGGUGGGAGGCUUUGAAGUGUGGACGCCAGUCUGCAUGGAGCCGACCUUGAAAUACCACCCUUUAAUGUUUGAUGUUCUAACGUUGACCCGUAAUCCGGGUUGCGGACAGUGUCUGGUGGGUAGUUUGACUGGGGCGGUCUCCUCCUAAAGAGUAACGGAGGAGCACGAAGGUUGGCUAAUCCUGGUCGGACAUCAGGAGGUUAGUGCAAUGGCAUAAGCCAGCUUGACUGCGAGCGUGACGGCGCGAGCAGGUGCGAAAGCAGGUCAUAGUGAUCCGGUGGUUCUGAAUGGAAGGGCCAUCGCUCAACGGAUAAAAGGUACUCCGGGGAUAACAGGCUGAUACCGCCCAAGAGUUCAUAUCGACGGCGGUGUUUGGCACCUCGAUGUCGGCUCAUCACAUCCUGGGGCUGAAGUAGGUCCCAAGGGUAUGGCUGUUCGCCAUUUAAAGUGGUACGCGAGCUGGGUUUAGAACGUCGUGAGACAGUUCGGUCCCUAUCUGCCGUGGGCGCUGGAGAACUGAGGGGGGCUGCUCCUAGUACGAGAGGACCGGAGUGGACGCAUCACUGGUGUUCGGGUUGUCAUGCCAAUGGCACUGCCCGGUAGCUAAAUGCGGAAGAGAUAAGUGCUGAAAGCAUCUAAGCACGAAACUUGCCCCGAGAUGAGUUCUCCCUGACUCCUUGAGAGUCCUGAAGGAACGUUGAAGACGACGACGUUGAUAGGCCGGGUGUGUAAGCGCAGCGAUGCGUUGAGCUAACCGGUACUAAUGAACCGUGAGGCUUAACCUU